GGCCCGCUAGCUCAAUGGUAGAGCAAUUGCCUCUUAAGCAAUUGGUUACAGGUUCGAAUCCUGUGCGGGUCA
This is a non-coding RNA of Candidatus Curtissbacteria bacterium, 72 nucleotides long. The record is from Rfam. Lineage: Bacteria; Candidatus Curtissiibacteriota.